Molecule: ribosomal RNA, 772 nt
Filed under: uncultured bacterium
Lineage: Bacteria
Description: bacterial SSU rRNA
Rfam family: Bacterial small subunit ribosomal RNA
Source: RNAcentral
AGAGUUUGAUCAUGGCUCAGGACGAACGCUGGCGGCGCGCCUAAUACAUGCAAGUCGAGCGAGAAGCGGGACUUCGGUCCCGUGGAAAGCGGCGAACGGGUGCGUAACACGUGAGCAACCUGCCCCGAAGACCGGGACAAGCCGGGGAAACUUGGUCUAAUACCGGAUGCCCUCACCGGAUCGCAUGGUCUGGUGAGGAAAUGGAUUCCGCUUCGGGAUGGGCUCGCGGUCUAUCAGCUUGUUGGUGGGGUAACGGCCUACCAAGGCGACGACGGAUAGCUGGUCUGAGAGGACGAUCAGCCACACUGGGACUGAGACACGGCCCAGACUCCUACGGGAGGCAGCAGUAGGGAAUCUUGCGCAAUGGGGGAAACCCUGACGCAGCGACGCCGCGUGCGGGAUGAAGGCCUUCGGGUUGUAAACCGCUUUCAGCAGGGACGAAAUUGACGGUACCUGCAGAAGAAGGCCCGGCCAACUACGUGCCAGCAGCCGCGGUAAUACGUAGGGGCCUAGCGUUGUCCGGAAUCAUUGGGCGUAAAGAGCUCGUAGGCGGUUCGGCAAGUCACGUGUGAAAUCUCCACGCUUAACGUGGAGGCGCCACGUGAAACUGCCGUGACUCGAGUCCGGUAGGGGAGUGUGGAAUUCCCGGUGUAGCGGUGAAAUGCGCAGAUAUCGGGAGGAACACCAGUAGCGAAGGCGGCACUCUGGGCCGGUACUGACGCUGAGGAGCGAAAGCGUGGGGAGCGAACAGGAUUAGAUACCCUAGUAGUCC